This 541-nucleotide transfer RNA is filed under the name uncultured cyanobacterium. RNAcentral's name for it is "partial 16S-23S ribosomal RNA intergenic spacer". The stretch from base 212 to 284 matches the Rfam family "tRNA". Lineage: Bacteria; Bacillati; Cyanobacteriota. The record is from RNAcentral.
CAGGGAGACAACAAAAUGUUUAAUAUUAUUAUUUUGUCACCUUAGGUCGAUCGGUAUCUCACAUUCUUAAUUUAUUAAGGAUUUCAUUUCCUAAGUUUUUCUAGGUCACACCCAAUAUUUUUCCUGGGCCAUUAGCUCAGGUGGUUAGAGCGCACCCCUGAUAAGGGUGAGGUCCCUGGUUCAAGUCCAGGAUGGCCCAUAUCUCUAUGUUGGGGGUAUAGCUCAGUUGGUAGAGCGCCUGCUUUGCAAGCAGGAUGUCAGCGGUUCGAGUCCGCUUACCUCCACUGAUUACCACCUCUUCCAUAACCGGUAGAAAGGAAAUGUUUUGAGUAGUGAUCAAAUUCUGAAAGAAUCUAGCUUCCUAAUGAAAUCAUUAAGAUGCUGGACUCAUUGAAUUAAUUUCAUUGUUUUCAGAGAACCUUGACAACUGCAUAGAUUAUUUUUAAAGACAAUAAGCAUCUUUAAUGAUGCAGAUUUAUUAUUUGUGCGAAUGCAUUAAUAACAAUUCUAUUAAGCUGAUGCUUCAAUAUUUGAAGUUAUU